CCUACGGGAGGCAGCAGUGGGGAAUAUUGCACAAUGGGCGCAAGCCUGAUGCAGCAACGCCGCGUGAGGGACGACGGCCUUCGGGUUGUAAACCUCUUUUAGUAGGGAAGAAGCGAAAGUGACGGUACCUGCAGAAAAAGCACCGGCUAACUACGUGCCAGCAGCCGCGGUAAUACGUAGGGUGCAAGCGUUAUCCGGAAUUAUUGGGCGUAAAGAGCUCGUAGGCGGUUUGUCGCGUCUGCUGUGAAAACUGGAGGCUCAACCUCCAGCCUGCAGUGGGUACGGGCAGACUAGAGUGCGGUAGGGGAGAUUGGAAUUCCUGGUGUAGCGGUGGAAUGCGCAGAUAUCAGGAGGAACACCGAUGGCGAAGGCAGAUCUCUGGGCCGUAACUGACGCUGAGGAGCGAAAGCAUGGGGAGCGAACAGGAUUAGAUACCCUGGUAGUCCAUGCCGUAAACGUUGGGAACUAGAUGUAGGGACCAUUCCACGGUUUCUGUGUCGCNGCUACGACAUACGUUACCCGUCCGUCGGGAGGUACGGCCGCGACGGACGUAAACGUAACGUAAGUAGUUAAGUUAGUACGGCGUUGAGACGNGCCGACGGACGACGACGAGGGAGGAGG
This 621-nucleotide ribosomal RNA is filed under the name uncultured bacterium. RNAcentral describes it as "bacterial SSU rRNA". The stretch from base 1 to 524 matches the Rfam family "Bacterial small subunit ribosomal RNA", at positions 338 to 873 of the family's 1533-position model. The record is from RNAcentral.